Molecule: long non-coding RNA, 223 nt
Filed under: Salvia miltiorrhiza (redroot sage)
Lineage: Eukaryota; Viridiplantae; Streptophyta; Magnoliopsida; Lamiales; Lamiaceae
Description: long non-coding RNA (SMIL_LNC014215)
Source: RNAcentral
AUGAUUUUAUUUGCCAAAACCCCAAAUUUUAUCCAUUUUCAUUUUUUGAAGUUGUUUUCUAUGAACUUGAAAAUAUGUUUAAAGUGUAUUUUUUUAAAUUUAAAUGGUAUUAUAAUCGUGUUAAUAAUUAUUUUAAUUUAUUUUUAUUUUUUAAUUUAAUUAUUAAUUUUAUUUUAUAAAAACAUUUGGACCCCCCUGAAUCGGAAGUCUGGCUCCGCCCCUG